Molecule: long non-coding RNA, 415 nt
Organism: Hypanus sabinus (Atlantic stingray)
Lineage: Eukaryota; Metazoa; Chordata; Chondrichthyes; Myliobatiformes; Dasyatidae
Exons: 3
Source: RefSeq, a predicted model, not a curated record
GAUAUGUAAUCAUGGAAAAAGAAAUCACCAGUUUGAUAGAAAGAAUUUUUUUUACAUAUUUGAGGUGCACAGUGGAGUCUAUCAUAACUGCUGGCAUCACAGCCUGGUAUGGAAACACCAAAGCCCAGAAAUGGAAAAUGCUACAGGAAGUGGUGGAUACAGCCCAGUCCAUCACAGGCAAAGCCCUCCCCACCACUGAGUACACUUACAUGGAGCAUUGCCACAGGAAAGCAGCAUCCAUCAACAAAGACCCCCACCACCAUCAUCUCUUCUCAUUACUACCAUCAGAGACUUCUCACUGAAGUGUUCAACAAUAAUCAGCCAGCAUGGAGAGAUUCCAAUUGCCCUGAUACCAUUUCUUCAUGACUGCAAUGUCCUGGUGUAACUUUUCAAAACUCAUCACAACAGUGCCAAG